GCACCCGUAGCUCAGUUGGAUAGAGCACACUUGUCGCAAAGUUGAGGCCGUCGGUUCGAUUCCGGCCGGGUGCUCCA
Molecule: transfer RNA, 77 nt
Filed under: Acidobacteriaceae bacterium
Lineage: Bacteria; Pseudomonadati; Acidobacteriota; Terriglobia; Terriglobales; Acidobacteriaceae
Description: tRNA-OTHER
Rfam family: tRNA
About the family: Transfer RNA (tRNA) molecules are approximately 80 nucleotides in length. Their secondary structure includes four short double-helical elements and three loops (D, anti-codon, and T loops).
Source: RNAcentral